AGUAGCUCAGUUGGUAGAGCAAUUGACUCUUAAUCAAUGGGUCCAGGGUUCGAGUCCCUGCU
RNAcentral lists this transfer RNA (62 nucleotides) under bovine gut metagenome. It matches the Rfam family "tRNA", at positions 6 to 65 of the family's 71-position model. Rfam says of the family: Transfer RNA (tRNA) molecules are approximately 80 nucleotides in length. Their secondary structure includes four short double-helical elements and three loops (D, anti-codon, and T loops). The record is from RNAcentral.